Molecule: ribosomal RNA, 468 nt
Filed under: uncultured soil bacterium
Lineage: Bacteria
Description: bacterial SSU rRNA
Rfam family: Bacterial small subunit ribosomal RNA
Source: RNAcentral
AGAACGAACGCUGGCGGCAUGCCUAAUACAUGCAAGUCGAACGAACUCUUCGGAGUUAGUGGCGCACGGGUGCGUAACGCGUGGGAAUCUGCCCCUUGGUUCGGAAUAACAGUUGGAAACGACUGCUAAUACCGGAUGAUGACGAAAGUCCAAAGAUUUAUCGCCAAGGGAUGAGCCCGCGUAGGAUUAGCUAGUUGGUGAGGUAAAGGCUCACCAAGGCAACGAUCCUUAGCUGGUCUGAGAGGAUGAUCAGCCACACUGGGACUGAGACACGGCCCAGACUCCUACGGGAGGCAGCAGUGGGGAAUUUGGGACAAUGGGCGAAAGCCUGAUCCAGCCAUGCCGCGUGCAGGAUGAAGGCCUUCGGUUGUAAACUGCUUUUGUACGGAACGAAAGUCUCUUUCUAAUAAAGAGGAUCAUGACGUACCGUAAGAAUAAGACACCGGCUAACUACGUGCCAGCAGCCGC